AUGGGGCGAAGGGCGCCGCGGGCCAGACUUACCCAGCAGCAGCAGCUUGAGCUCCCGGCGGGCGUCCCGCUUGUCCCGCUUGAGCUGCCUCUCGAUCUCGUCGUUGAUCCGGCGCGCUUCCUUGGCUUCCUCGCUCAGGCAGCACGCCAUGAUGGACUCCAGAGUCAUUCUUCCCAACUGGUUGAGGCGCAGCCCCCGCCCCCACCCCCAAAACACGCGCCGCGCCCCCCGACACACAAAGCCGCCGCCGACGCAGGGAGGGAGAAAGCCCGGCUGCCGCUCCCGAGCUGCGAGCCCCCCGCCUCACUCCCGGGAAGAGCAGAGCCAGGCGAGCCUGACACGCGGAGACGCGCGCUCACACGCAGCCACCACGCGCCCCCCGCCUUCCUCGCCGCCGCCCCCCGACGCCGCCUCCGGGCACACGCGCGGCUCCCCACUCCGCCUCCUCCUCGCCCGAUCAUGCACCAAACAGGGGGAACAUCCAGCCGGGGAGGCAGCGGCAGCAGCGAGAGAAAGGGAAAGACCGUCGCGGGGAAGCAGCGCCCUCUCUUUGUCCCCCCCCCGCCCCCUCUAAGCUGCCUCACCCCGACGUGCCCUGCCCGCCCGCGGCUGGCCAAGCGAAGCGCCCCCCACACAUUGGCAGCGCCCACCCCGCCUCCCCUCGCCCCCGCCCAGAAGCCGCCCGAGGUUGUCCGCGCGGGGCGGGGUCGGCAAGGGCCGGACCCCGCGGGAGCCUCCGGGGGCUCCCAAGCUCCUCGCAGCGAGGCUCCCUCCCCGCUCCCUGCGCUCCGAGGGGGACGCGGCCCAGGACGGCUUGGGCCGGGGAGGAGCGGCUCUUCCUUUCUCGGGGCCGCCUUCCCCUUACUGCAAGAAAAGGGGGGAGGGCAAGAGGGCCGGCCGCCCGCCCGAGGUGUGUCGCCAGCCGGACUCGGGCGGCUCGGCUCCCCGGGCGUGGCGAGGCAGAAAUAUGGCGGACCUUUUCUCUCGCUCGCUGCUCUGCGCGCUCCACGCUCCCCUCCGCCCCGAAAUGAAAUCCCAGGAAAGUAA
Molecule: long non-coding RNA, 1047 nt
Filed under: Podarcis muralis (Common wall lizard)
Lineage: Eukaryota; Metazoa; Chordata; Lepidosauria; Squamata; Lacertidae
Description: lncRNA (ENSPMRG00000016972.1)
Source: RNAcentral